UACGAAGGGGGCUAGCGUUGCUCGGAAUCACUGGGCGUAAAGCGCACGUAGGCGGAUCUUUAAGUCAGGGGUGAAAUCCUGGAGCUCAACUCCAGAACUGCCUUUGAUACUGGGGAUCUCGAGUCCGGAAGAGGUGAGUGGAACUCCGAGUGUAGAGGUGAAAUUCGUAGAUAUUCGGAAGAACACCAGCGGCGAAGGCGGCUCACUGGUCCGGUACUGACGCUGAGGUGCGAAAGCGUGGGGAGCAAACAGG
Molecule: ribosomal RNA, 253 nt
Filed under: uncultured bacterium
Lineage: Bacteria
Description: partial 16S ribosomal RNA
Rfam family: Bacterial small subunit ribosomal RNA
Source: RNAcentral